Molecule: long non-coding RNA, 4532 nt
Organism: Harpia harpyja (harpy eagle)
Lineage: Eukaryota; Metazoa; Chordata; Aves; Accipitriformes; Accipitridae
Exons: 2
Source: RefSeq, a predicted model, not a curated record
GCCCUCGCACCGGAGCUUGGCUCAGUGGGUUUCUGGCUCCGUGUGACGAGGAGGCCUGACCCCGUGAUUCAUAGAAGGAGGCUGGCUGCCAGCGUUUCAGAAGCCGGUGGGUGUUUUUGGAGGUACACAUAUGUUCAGCUCGCCUGCUGCCAGCUUCGUCGGCUCAGCUAUUUGGUGCAUCCUCUCACAUGUUUGGGGACAUAACAAAAAAACUAGGGCAAAAUUCUGCAAAAUAAUAUCUUGAAAAGAUGACAGGUUCCUGAAAAGGAAUGUGUAGCUGGGACCCUGGGCAUGUGUGAAGCCUGACGGGGAGCUCUGCAAGAAGGGGCAUUACCCACGUGCACAGUUUGAGAACAGCCAAGGCACAGGAGCCUUUCUCCAGUUCCAGGUUUUCUACGUAUUCCUAAGAUGUCCUGCACUGUCUGCAUCACAGUCCACAUCCUGUGUAGGCAUAUGGAGCUACGGGAAAUAUUCUGCCUUAUUUUGUCUGAUCUCUUUGGAGAGAAGUAAGAUUCAGGGACCCUCUUCUGUCUUGUGACUACUUGAAAGCAAAGCAGAAUAUGAAUUUUGCACUCCCUGGGGUGGUGACCAGACAGCAUCGCUCCUUGGCAUCUCUAGGAAUGCAGGCUUCAGAGUUUGGGAAAGAGGAGCUGAAAAUCAAGCUUUUUUUGGCCAAACCUCCUGUGCUGACAUCAGCAGGGCUCAAACAUUUAGUUUUCUCACCUGUGGAGCCAUGGGUAGAGUUAAGGUUGGGAUAGGUCUGGAGUUUAGAACAAGGGUUUCCAAGUUCAGCCUGGGUGUGUGAGAGAAGCCCGCCUGUUGUGAGUGUGGACAGGAACCUUCCCCUGGCCGAGGUCUGCAGACCAUUAAAAACCUGCUAUUUCAAUUCUACCCAAACUGCAAGCGCCACACCUGACCCUGACCUUACGCUAGACAGCCUGGUGGAUGACUGCAUUAGCAUCAAAAUUACUCAUGUAUCACGGGCCUCUUCAUUUUCCACUGGAAAAUUUUUGCACAUAAGCUUUCCCUGAAUUAUAUUCUAAAUGGAAGAUUUGCAUGGUUUUAAAUGUAUAUAUAUGAACACUAAAUUAUUGUAUGCUUAAAUACUUUUAAUUAUAGGUAGUAAAUAAUAACCAUUUAUACUGAGGUAGCAUGUAAUAUCUCAAAGCACCUCUUCCAGGACAUUAGGUACAAAUAAAUAGUGUCAGUUUAUGUCCCUAAGAGCUGACAGUCCAAAUUACUUACAGCUUUACAGCUUCCACAUGGAUUUCUUGUGGUCUGCUUUUACUGACUCAUGGGAUCUAGAAAACAAAUCAACAGUGAAGUUCUUACUCAUUUUAUUUAGUUGAGUUCUUUGCUGCAGGUUCUGAUCGGAUUAUAGAGGAAGAACUUUCUUUUCACACUUAAAUUAGUUCUCCGAAAAGCCAGAAAAUGAGACUGGAUUUUAUCCCUAUAGAAAUCUACGUAAUUCCAAGUAAUUUAAGGAAUUCAAGCAGAACAGACUGAGAGGCCAAUUGUAAACCAUCUGCACUCUUUAGGGCUUUCUGUAAUCCAACGGAGAAAGUUUUCAGGACUAUAGCAGAACUGAAAAAUGGACUUGCCAAAAGAAAAAACAUUACUGGUAAGUUAGAGUUAAUUUUCCAUAAAAUAGAUGUCAAACCUCAGGCAACAGACCUACAAAGACUUUGCAGAAUCCAAAUAUACCUACUCUGUAGGCAGUACAGGCUGGAACGAGAAGGAAGGAUGUCAUUUGGAAAUUAUGAAGUGGAUGCAGACUUGGUUAGAGUGUGAAGAUACAAGUAGGAGAUCUGGUAAUGAGAAUAGCUCGGUAUCAGUAUCCCACAAGCAGAGUUUAUACAGAAACAUAGCAGUCAAAUUAUGAAGGACAGGUUUGCCUGCAAAAAUUACCAAGUGCUUUGGCUUGGUUUCUAAACUGAUCUUGCUAUCAUGAUACACCUGGAAAUGGCAUUUGACUGAGAUAACAAACAGCUAAACAUGAUAAUGGGGAUCUACAGCAGAUGGCGAAAUACUCAUGUUGCCAUAGAAACCAUGCAGAAAAAGUGUGUAGGAGUAAAGCAUGGCGCAGAAAAGCUUCUAGGAGAAGGGUCUAGAGACUGAGGAACUGAAUUCAUUCAGCAGCUGUUAAGGUUAGUCCAGACAUUAAUAAAAACACAUUAGCUCUUCAGGAAACUGAGAAUCAUGGAGGAAAGGAGUCCUAACGGUGAGCUGCAGAACAGUUGAAGGCAGCAAUGCCAUGUUGUGCCAUAGGGUAGGGCAGAAAAAGUCUGUAGAGAAAGGCUGGAGAUGGCCAUGAGAUGGACGAAAAAGCUGGGAAGCCCUUCAACCACAACCACAGCACGUGCUCCCCUCGUGUCUGCUGAGCACAUGCCGGACCCAGGCUGGUGGUAAGGGGACGCGCUUUCCUAGGCCCCCUCUGCUCUCCCUGCAGCAAGUCCAUAUGUGCUCAGGAGGUGACCCAGUGCCGCUGCUUCGGUACCCGCUCACUUUCCCCACGCAGAGAAGCUGUUGGGUGGUCCCACAGCGCUACAGGGCUGACGCCUCAGUGACGGACUCACAUGUGGCUACAUUUAGUGAAGAAUUCAGGCCCUAGGCAGACAAAUGUGUGUUUUUGAAUUCCCCACACAAAGGGCUUGAGUAGGGGACUAUCUGGAGGAAGCUUCUGUUUCACUUUCUGUUGGGGCGAGUAACAUGGCAGAAAAGAUCCCCUAGAGCUCAGGGAGCAGAGUUACCCAGGGACUGUUGAGGCAAGGCAGAAGGCGAGUCCUCCCACGGUGCAGAAGGACCAGACAGAGGUGACGGGCUACAGCCAUCGUCCUUUGUGCUAGAACAGCUUGCACUCUGCCACAGUGGGUCGUGAGGCAAUACCCUGAGGUCUCUGCCUGCUCACGAGUUGGAGAGAAAAGGGCAAGGAGGUGUCCCUGUGUGACUUGAGCAAGCAGAGGGUUGGCUCUCGGCGAAGACCCAGGACGCACAUCCAGCUGUCAGCAGUAGCUCCAGCAGACUGCCAGAUUAAAACCAUGUGUGCUGGGCAGCUAUGCAAGGGCAGGCAAAGGGAUUGAGACAAAGUGCUGAUUGGUGCUGUGGCUACAGAAAUAUCUCAAACUCUGGUCAUAACAUGGUUAUCUCCUGUUGCUGCUGGUCAGCUGCCUCUCUAGGACAGGCUUUCGUCUGUGUGGGGACUUGGAAGUCCCUGCCAAGACUGGGUGUAAGUAAGUGCUUUAACUGUUCCCAGGUGGUGGGGCUGGGUGGUGGGCAGAACCGUAGUGUCUCGAGGUCUAAAAGAUAAAAGGCAACGUGAGUGUGCUCAUCGCAAUAUGCCGGUGUGGAGAGGGAUGGGGCUGCCAUGGUCUUCGCUCUCGUGUGAUGACUGCAGAGCAGCGUCGCUUCUGCUACUUUUGCAGCCCUGUGGCUGCAUGAUGAGGAUGACAGCUCCAGGCUGUGGCAAGCCUCUGUACACACAGAAGCAUUAAAGAAAAAUAGCCGUACACAGGCAGCAACUCCAGAGAAGCCGCUCCAGAGGCAGAUGCAAAGUCCUUCAGUGCUGUUCUUCACUGAGCUCCCAGGGCACGGUCCUUUCCUCAGAGGGUGCCUCACAAAGGGGAAGCUACUGGGAUUACACUCCCGGCUUCCAGCCAGACCAAGCCUUUGCUGCUGCCCCAAUUUACAUUUCCACGUCUGGAUCGUGUUGGGGUGAUGUAACGCUGGAUCCCGGAGCAUGAUUCAAUGCAAAGUCACACUGAGUGCAACUGGAAAUGGUGCCAAAUGUGAGUGUAAAGGGUGCGAAUGGGUUGUGGACUGGGAAGGAAACUUGAGGCAACAUGAGCUGCUGCCGUCUGUGAGUCUCGUGCUUUCAGCUGGACCUGCAUUACGGCAGGAUACGAUGCGCAGGGAUUGAUAGAGAGGAGCAAGGACAUUAGGAGACAACUGACAGUGACUGAAAAGCCCAAAUGAAAAAAGCUUUUGACUCAUUAAGACUACAGAAGGACUGAUGAAUAACCAUUAAAAGCAAGCACCAGAGAUCCUGCAUGUCAGAGCAGUGUUUCUUGUGCAUGUUAAGUUACAGCAAAGCCACAGACCCAGUAAGUCAGUGAUACCUGUAAUGCUCCAAAAUCAAGGUGUUCUGUCAAAUGAUCGCUACAGUGUAAAAUCCUCUGGAGGCUGAAAUAAUUUGUAUUACAUUUACCUGACCUUACUGGCCAUUUUCACCUACAGUCAGGAGAAUACAGCUGUGCGCUCAGCACGUUGAAGGAGAAAGGCUGUUCUUUUAACCAAAUUUCCUUUCUUGUUCUUGUGUCACAGCAUCUACAGUUUUAGUAGGCAGGUAUCUUUUAUUCUUGGUAAGAAUAGGAAGUUAGUUCAUGUUCAUUAUCUAGAAGAGCCCAGAAAACAUUAAAUGUUUUCCAGACUAUUAAUAAACUCAAGUAUCAGUUGCCUUGAGAAAGAAUGUAACCCUAAGAAACACUGAUUGUACAACUAACAAAUGCAGAUGUGAAGCGCUAUCAACAACGUUA